CAAAGAACUCAGAAGGGUAGUGUCUAAAAUUUAUCUCUCCAAGCGACUUCAUACAAAUUAUGCCAUUGGAUUAUCCGCCUAAACAAGAGGAGCCAUUGACUUACUGAUUGAUUUCUACAAGAAGGAAUUUAUCAAUAUGGGUGGCUAUCUUACUAAUUCUUGCCAGGUUUUGGAUAUUGAAGUUCACUAGAAGCAAAUUUUUGACGACAUACAGAUUAACCAUCAUUUUACUGGGAGUUUCAAGAAAAUUUUACAUUACAAUCGAGGGAUAUUAGUAAUAUAUAAUUUUUUGCUAAAUAUUUAUGAACACAACAUUGUGACUAGCUUACAUCAAUUAUGUAC
Non-coding RNA from Nicotiana tabacum (common tobacco), 342 nucleotides. NCBI's taxonomy places the organism in Eukaryota, Viridiplantae, Streptophyta, Magnoliopsida, Solanales, Solanaceae. The record is from RefSeq and is a predicted model, not a curated record.